UUGCCAUAAAAGAUUGUCUCCUAAAUCAUAAGAACUAAGAGGGAAUAUUGACAAAAAGCUCUGAGGAUUAUUUGUGGUAUAAUUAUAUAAAAGUUUUAGAUGUUUACAGAGACCCGUAAGAUUUGGACUGGCUCCAGGCAAAGACACAGUGUGACCAAGUCUGAGUAAAUGCCCUCCUCAGCAGAACCUCUGCAGCUGUCAUGAAUAAUGCCUGAAAUGAAAGGCCAAUGAAAGGUAUAGAAGAUGGCCAGGCCAAUCACCAAGGUUCUCUGGUGGAAAGGAAAGGAUGGAAGAGAAAGGCAAAAUGCAAAACCCAUUAUAGGGCUCUGAAAGAAAAGAGGUCUAGAAAAGAGAAAGAAGGCGGCAUUUGCCAUAGACAUCACCAGCAACCCCAACCAAGUCAUAUCCAGAUUCUUCACGUUUGUUUGUUUGCUUGUUUGUUCGCUUGUUUUUCUGGAAUAUACUUUCAGUAUGGUAUGCGAUUCAGAAAAAUAUUGGCCUUGCCUUAAGCUGAAGCUUCCCCUUUCUUGGUUGGUAGAAGCUCAUCCAUGAAAGUAAACAACAUUUGUGGUGAUACACAGGAUUGUUACAGAGACCAACAACACAGAUAGAGUGUACAGUCAGAUUUCUUGCCUGUAGAAGUUACACUGUGACUGUUGAUUCCCUUUAGCUCUUGAGUAUUUUGUAUGUUUUGCAAUCCUCAACCAAAAAUCUCUCAAUGAAUAAGCCAAAUUUUCUGACUUAAAAUCUUAUUCAGAAGGAAUGGUUGGGGAACAACAAACUGAUUCAGUGGGUAAAGGCAUGAUCUAUCCUAGCCCAGUAAUCUGAGUUUGAUUUCUGUAACCCACAGAGUGGAAGGAGAAAGGCAUCUCCUGAGAACAUUCUCCAAAUUCCACGGUGUGCACAGACACACACAUGCAUGCGCACAUGUGUACACACGUUCAAUCAACACCAUAACUUACAUUGUCUUCCACACAAAGUUCUGGCAAGCUUCAAUAGAUUCAUUAGUGGGUUUUUCUUUACACCAACAAAGCUCAAAGAGGUCCUAACAAUGGAGGUAAUCACAGCGUCUUCCCGACCCAAGCUUAGGUUUCCAUCCUUUCACUCCAGACUCCUAUUUCAUUUCUAAGCAACUGGAUUUCCAUGGCAUUCCCAGAACAAAUAAAUAUCUCCCUUUCCCCUGCUUACAUCUUUUGUGUAUAUUUUUCUAUACAACUGCCUGUAUUUAAACUAGUGUGGUAAUGGCAGGGUUCUUCAGGUAAUCUUUCAUUGGACAUAAAUGGUGUAGCAUUAAAAUGCAGAUAAUGUUACCUCAAUUAGAGAACGCUGUGCAAAACUUGAAAAAGACGAAGCUAAAUGUUUGGACUAAACAACUCUAACUAUGCUCUGGCUCUUGUGCCCUGAAGAUUUGAUGUGAAGAUGGUAUGACAAGCUUGGCUUCUCCUGAUGCAGCUGGCACUCCUGAUGCCAAAAGCCAGAGCCUAUGGUAGUGGGAUGAGGAGAGUUGUUCCCAGCACAGUUUGCCUGUCAGUUUCCCAUCCGCCUCGCAGUGCAGCACCCCCUCCGCAAGUUCCCCUAAUGAGAAGUGGAGGACAAUACCAGUAUUGUUGUUUCUACUGGCAAUCGUGUGGAAAGAACAGUCGCUGUUUACCCAAGCAUUUGUAUUACCCAAACUCUGUGGAUAAUUACUUCUAGAGUCCCAGAUUAACUCUGCUCUUUGCCUCAGCACAAAAUAUCUAUUUAGAUAGAAACCCAACAACUUUUCUGUCUCUUAGAGCAUUUUAAUAGUUUACCAUUAAACUAGUUUCAUAUUUAUCAAAA
Molecule: long non-coding RNA, 1821 nt
Organism: Mus musculus (house mouse)
Lineage: Eukaryota; Metazoa; Chordata; Mammalia; Rodentia; Muridae
Product: predicted gene, 52045
Exons: 3
Source: RefSeq, a predicted model, not a curated record